GCGCCUCUUGCUUCAACAGUGCUUGGACGGAGGCAG
Regulatory RNA element from Alligator mississippiensis (American alligator), 36 nucleotides. It matches the Rfam family "Iron response element I". NCBI's taxonomy places the organism in Eukaryota, Metazoa, Chordata, Crocodylia, Alligatoridae. The record is from Rfam.